Molecule: ribosomal RNA, 253 nt
Filed under: uncultured bacterium
Lineage: Bacteria
Description: partial 16S ribosomal RNA
Rfam family: Bacterial small subunit ribosomal RNA
Source: RNAcentral
UACGGAGGGUGCAAGCGUUAAUCGGAAUUACUGGGCGUAAAGCGCACGCAGGCGGUCUGUCAAGUCGGAUGUGAAAUCCCCGGGCUCAACCUGGGAACUGCAUUCGAAACUGGCAGGCUAGAGUCUUGUAGAGGGGGGUAGAAUUCCAGGUGUAGCGGUGAAAUGCGUAGAGAUCUGGAGGAAUACCGGUGGCGAAGGCGGCCCCCUGGACAAAGACUGACGCUCAAGUGCGAAAGCGUGGGGAGCAAACAGG